UAGGAACGUACCCCAAACUGAGGGAUAAGCACCAGAAAUGGUGUCUAAUACCGCAUGUGCUCUAAGGAGUAAAGCUUCGGCGGUUUGGGAACGGCCUGCGCAUGAUUAGCUUGUUGGUGAGGUAAUGGCUCACCAAGGCGACGAUCAUUGGCUGGUCUGAGAGGAUGAUCAGCCAGACUGGGACUGAGACACGGCCCAGACUCCUACGGGAGGCAGCAGUAGGGAAUUUUCCACAAUGGGCGAAAGCCUGAUGGAGCAACGCCGCGUGCAGGAUGAAGGGCUUCGGUUCGUAAACUGCUUUUAUAUGUGACGAUUAUGACGGUAGCAUAUGAAUAAGGAUCGGCUAACUCCGUGCCAGCAGCCGCGGUCAUACGGAGGAUCCAAGCGUUAUCCGGAAUUACUGGGCGUAAAGAGUUGCGUAGGUGGCAUAGUAAGUCGGUAGUGAAAUUGUGUGGCUCAACCAUACACCCAUUACCGAAACUGCUAAGCUAGAGGACGAGAGAGGUAGAUGGAAUUUCCAGUGUAGGAGUGAAAUCCGUAGAUAUUGGAAGGAACACCGAUGGCGUAGGCAGUCUACUGGCUCGUUCCUGACACUAAGGCACGAAAGCGUGGGGAGCAAACGGGAUUAGAUACCCCGGUAGUCCACGCCGUAAACGAUGGAUGCUAGCUGUAAGAAGUAUCGACCCUUCUUGUAGCGAAGCUAACGCGUUAAGCAUCCCGCCUGUGGAGUACGAGCGCAAGCUUAAAACAUAAAGGAAUUGACGGGGACCCGCACAAGCGGUGGAGCGUGUUGUUUAAUUCGAUGGUAAGCGAAGAACCUUACCCAGGCUUGACAUCCUUGGAAUUUUGCCGAAAGGCGAGAGUGCUUUAUUG
RNAcentral lists this ribosomal RNA (873 nucleotides) under uncultured bacterium. RNAcentral describes it as "bacterial SSU rRNA". It matches the Rfam family "Bacterial small subunit ribosomal RNA", at positions 118 to 1024 of the family's 1533-position model. The record is from RNAcentral.